GUUUCCGUGGUGUAGUGGUUAUCACAUCCGCCUAACACGCGGAAAGCCCCCGGUUCAAUCCCGGGCGGAAACA
Molecule: transfer RNA, 73 nt
Filed under: Ceratitis capitata (Mediterranean fruit fly)
Lineage: Eukaryota; Metazoa; Arthropoda; Insecta; Diptera; Tephritidae
Description: tRNA-Val
Source: RNAcentral